Molecule: ribosomal RNA, 498 nt
Filed under: uncultured bacterium
Lineage: Bacteria
Description: partial 16S ribosomal RNA
Rfam family: Bacterial small subunit ribosomal RNA
Source: RNAcentral
AUUGAACGCUGGCGGCAUGCUUUACACAUGCAAGUCGAACGGUAACAGGCCGCAAGGUGCUGACGAGUGGCGAACGGGUGAGUAAUGCAUCGGAACGUGCCCAGUCGUGGGGGAUAACGCAGCGAAAGCUGCGCUAAUACCGCAUACGAUCUCUGGAUGAAAGCGGGGGACCGAAAGGCCUCGCGCGAUUGGAGCGGCCGAUGUCAGAUUAGGUAGUUGGUGGGGUAAAGGCCCACCAAGCCAACGAUCUGUAGCUGGUCUGAGAGGACGACCAGCAAGACUGGGACUGAGACACGGCCCAGACUCCUACGGGAGGCAGCAGUGGGGAAUUUUGGACAAUGGGCGCAAGCCUGAUCCAGCAAUGCCGCGUGCAGGAAGAAGGCCUUCGGGUUGUAAACUGCUUUUGUACGGAACGAAACGGUCCGGGCUAAUACCCUGGGCUAAUGACGGUACCGUAAGAAUAAGCACCGGCUAACUACGUGCCAGCAGCCGCCGUAA